UUCCCACAGUCCAUCUCUUCGUCCCGGCAUAGAGCCCGUCCCCCACUGAUUGCAUCUUCAUCUUCUUCCUCAGCCCUUGCACAGCCCACCAUCCCUCUCCUCUCUCAGCUACAAAUCAGCCACAAACCGAACAGCGCCCCCUGGCCUUGAUUGUUCUCCAGCCGCUGCGAGACAAGCCCUCCUCUCUCAGCCGACCCAUCGGCCUCC
RNAcentral lists this long non-coding RNA (207 nucleotides) under Populus tremula. RNAcentral describes it as "long non-coding RNA (PTRE_LNC000736)". The record is from RNAcentral. Lineage: Eukaryota; Viridiplantae; Streptophyta; Magnoliopsida; Malpighiales; Salicaceae.